Molecule: ribosomal RNA, 798 nt
Filed under: uncultured Glomeromycotina
Lineage: Eukaryota; Fungi; Glomeromycota
Description: SSU rRNA
Rfam family: Eukaryotic small subunit ribosomal RNA
Source: RNAcentral
AUCAACUUUCGAUGGUAGGAUAGAGGCCUACCAUGGUGGUAACGGGUAACGGGGUGUUAGGGCACGACACCGGAGAGGGAGCCUGAGAAACGGCUACCACAUCCAAGGAUGGCAGCAGGCGCGCAAAUUACCCAAUCCCGACACGGGGAGGUAGUGACAAUAAAUAACAAUACGGGGUCCUUUGGGUUUCGUAAUUGGAAUGAGUACAAUUUAAAUCUCUUAACGAGGAACAAUUGGAGGGCAAGUCUGGUGCCAGCAGCCGCGGUAAUUCCAGCUCCAAUAGCGUAUAUUAAAGUUGUUGCAGUUAAAAAGCUCGUAGUUGAAUUUCGGGAUCAGUAGGUCGGUCGUGCCACUGGUAUGAACUGGUCUCACUGGUUCCUCCCUCUUGACGAACUGCAAUGCUAUUAAUUUAGUGUAGUAGGAAAUCAGGACUGUUACUUUGAAAAAAUUAGAGUGUUUAAAGCAGGCUUUGGCUUGAAUACAUUAGCAUGGAAUAAUGAAAUAGGACGUUCGAUCCUAUUUUGUUGGCUUCUAGGAUUGACGUAAUGAUUAAUAGGGACAGUUGGGGGCAUUAGUAUUCAAUUGUCAGAGGUGAAAUUCUUGGAUUUAUUGAAGACUAACUACUGCGAAAGCAUUUGCCAAGGAUGUUUUCAUUAAUCAAGAACGAAAGUUAGGGGAUCGAAGACGAUCAGAUACCGUCGUAGUCUUAACCAUAAACUAUGCCGACUAGGGAUCGGAUGAUGUUAAUUUUUUAAUGACUCAUUCGGCGCCUUACGGGAAACCAAAGUGUUUGGGUUC